RNAcentral lists this ribosomal RNA (460 nucleotides) under uncultured bacterium. RNAcentral describes it as "partial 16S ribosomal RNA". It matches the Rfam family "Bacterial small subunit ribosomal RNA", at positions 338 to 795 of the family's 1533-position model. The record is from RNAcentral.
CCUACGGGUGGCAGCAGUGAGGAAUAUUGGUCUCUGGACGAGAGUCUGAACCAGCCAAGUAGCGUGAAGGAUGACUGCCCUAUGGGUUGUAAACUUCUUUUAUAUGGGAAUAAAAUGUUCCACGUGUGGGAUUUUGUAUGUACCAUAUGAAUAAGGAUCGGCUAACUCCGUGCCAGCAGCCGCGGUAAUACGGAGGAUCCGAGCGUUAUCCGGAUUUAUUGGGUUUAAAGGGAGCGUAGGUGGAUUGUUAAGUCAGUUGUGAAAGUUUGCGGCUCAACCGUAAAAUUGCAGUUGAAACUGGCAGUCUUGAGUACAGUAGAGGUGGGCGGAAUUCGUGGUGUAGCGGUGAAAUGCUUAGAUAUCACGAAGAACUCCGAUUGCGAAGGCAGUUCACUGGACUGCAACUGACACUGAGGCUCGAAAGUGUGGGUAUCAAACAGGAUUAGAUACCCGGGUAGUC